ACAACGUUUUAUUAUUCAAAGAUAAACGUACUUCUAAAAAUUCUGGUCGCAGUUCCACCACAGUUUCACAGUAACGGAGGAGAUCUUUUUCUGGGAUGCUCGUACGAUUGGCGCAUUAAAACAGUGAUGAAUCGCGCGUUAAAACGAAUAUUGAAAUUUAUUUGUCGGUUUGCAUAGUCGUAAAAUAUAUCGAUCGAUAUUGAUAACAUUGAAGAUCGAAGAUUUUCUUAACGAUCGCGUGAUAACAAAUGGAGGAGAGAAGGGGAGGGAAGGGGGGAGUGAAAUCGGAUGUAAAUUCGUGAUUCGUAGAUACCUGAAGCGCGCGCGCGAUAAAUAACAUUUCAAAAGAGGAAAUAAAUGCGAAGAAAGAAGUCGAGUCGAAUUAAUUUCGAUGUACAUUUUUUCGCACGAUGCGAUAUUUUUUAUAAAUUUAUAAACCAAGAUCGAUUCGGGAAAACAAUAUUCGAUCAUUCGUGUUCGUGCAAAAAUAUUGAACAUUUGUUAGAUUGUCGUCAUCCAGAAAACGAAUCGAUAUUGAAGAAAGAGAAAGAGAGAGCGAAAAAGUAAAAAAAAAAAAAGAAAAGGAAGAAUAAAACAAAACAACGGAAUAAAAUUGGAAUACAGUUGUAAACGUAGCACCACGUUAUAUUCUUAUCGCUAUUCACGUACAAGCUAAAAAACCGUAUUUACUAUGGCAGGUAAUGGUACACGCGUGCACAUGUAACCCGUCUCCAAAUGCGUGACAAUUGAACAAAUGAAGGAAAAAGAAAGAAAACGGAACGUCGAGAGAGAAUAGAACUUGGAAUGGAUGGUGAGCGACGUGUCGCGACGAAUUACUUCCGAUUUCGAAGCUUACGCGCUAAUUAAUGCCUCUUAAACGACCAAUUGAUUAACUGGAACCCGGGACUGCGCUCUAUACGCAUGCGUAACGAUGCACACGCGUGUAUACACGUACUUACAGAAACGUUUAUACCGGUAUGCGCGCAUAUAUAUACAUAUAUAUAUACGUGUGUGUAACUUCGUCUCUACGUAUAAGUAGGCGAUACGUAGCCAGUACGACGCCCGUUGCUUUUUUUUAUCGCGUAACGCACUAUAGUUGAGCUACCGUCGGCCGUCCCUACGUUACGAACCGACCACCCUAUGGAUACAAGGUAAUCACGACCGAGAGAAAAGGGUCGUCGAAUGCACCUGUACACGUGUGACCAUGCGUGCGGAUAAACGACAGAUGGACCGGAUUGCAUAAGUGCAGGCGCGGAUUGAACGCGACGAACGCGCGCAUACAUACACACGUGUACACGAUCCCUUUCAAUUUUUAAAUCGUUAAAUACAUCUAUGAGUUUUGCGGACACGAGGCGCUCCGUAUAACACUCGAAUCUAGCAGCCAACCUGAUGAAGCAUCGAGGCAAGCCGGAACACGCGCAUCCAGGCGAACAUCCCCGUCGAUGGCGAACGACAGAUCGCGCUCCUCGACGACGUGCUCGUGAAAUUUUUACACUCUGUCGAUGUCGACUGACGCCUCCCUCCUCCGCCGCGAUUCGGUGUCGCCGUGUCGAUCGAGCAAACGUCGCUCUCCGACUUCCUUUCCUUUUGCUGCUGCUGCUGCUGUUGCGGCGAGUACUUCAUCACUGUGUAUCAUUAUUGGCAACAAUUAAUCAGGAUUUCCCUUUCUAAUUCGAUUCAAACUGAGAUACAACCAUGGGAAUUAAGCGCCCCACUUUUUCAUGCAGAAACUCUACGCACGCGGAAACAACGCGCCGAACGAAGCGUUUCGCUUGUUUCAAUCGCGAUACACGCGCUAAUUAUAUCGCUCUUAAGCCGAAACUUCUUUUCGUCGCGUGUUCAUUAUCUUUUAAAAUGAAUCGAUCGUGUAAUUUUGUGGAAUUAUUCGUUGAAAUAAAGAUCCACUCAAACUUCCAAUCAAUUCAAUUCAGUCGUUUCAAUGGGAGUGAAUUAUUUUCCAUCCAAUCGAUCAGAUGACAAUUAAAUGCUAAUUAAAUGAAGUAAGUUCGAAUAAUAUGGAUCAUUGUUGAUCAAGUUAUUCCGAGUUUUAAUGAAAAUGGAUAAUUUUAUUCCUUAAUAAAAAGAAUGCUUUUAAAGAAAAAAAGUUUCUACAAGAGUUCAUUAUAAUUAUAAAAAUAUAGUUGAAAUAUAUAGUUCUGAAGCUAAUUUAUGACAACAUAAAAGAUGCGGAGCUCGAAGGUAGACUAACGAUUUUACGGCCGCAGAAUGUAACUAGUAUGGUUAAGUAAUGAGAUUUUCCGUAUGUCACUGCACUACUUUUUUUCUCACGGCUAACGGUGAAAUUCCUUUCACUGGCAAAUCCUCUUUUGUUUAAGAAAGCUGUUUUACGCAACGGAGAGAGCGUUACGAACGAGUUGUAUACGUGAAAACGAAAGCAUUAUUAAAUUUUCUAUUCGUCUUACAUCAUGAAAAAAUAUUCCGCUUCUUCAAAAUCUUACUGCUUUUUUACGCAAAUGUCAUAUUGACCUUGACUAUGUUUAUUCGCGUUAAACUCUCACUCGGUCAUGGUCAAAGAUCCAUUACGUGUGCAUUGCAAAGUGCGCUGAUAUAAUAAUUGAACGGAUAUGUUCAAAUUUCAAAUUUCAAAUUCAAUAAAUGAGAUAACGGAAAAAAAAACAAGCUGGAUAUAUAAUACAAACAAUAAUUAUUAAAUAUAAGUUAUUAAAUAUAAAAGAAAAAGUUCUAUUACAACUUUUUUCUAUUAUGAUAUACUUAUUUUAUUUUUAUUUUAUACUUUUUUUAUUUUUAUAAUAUGCGUAUUACAAGUUUCUUUCUACAUAUAUCAAAUAUAUAUAAUCUAUAAUAUUUCUAAAUAUAAAAUAUCAAUGCGUCUAUAAAUAUGCGUGCGUGUGUGUGUGUGUGUGUGUAAUAAAAAUGUGUAAUCAACGAAUGAUUAAGUAAAAAAAAAUUUUUGUAGGUUUAUCAGUAUCCGUGUUUCGAGGACUUUUUCCAAGAUCCUACGAGUAGGUGUAUAGUGGGCGUUUCAAAUGUAUUCUGCUUUUAGUAAAGCGCACGCGCCUCUUUCGGUCAGCUGAUUCCCUAGACCUACUUUUUGCCCGAUGAUGCAGGCUACAAAUAGAUAUAGUCACGAAUACUCGUGUGUGUAAAUGGAUAUAUGCAUAAGUACUUCUUGUUCUGUUGUAUAUAUACCUACAUACUUUAGGAAAUACUGUAUGUCCUAAAUCAUGCUCUUUGCUUGAGGCCAUUCUCAGGCAUUCGAAAAACUGAAAGUUAAGAAUAAAAUGCUCUUUGCUCUAUGAUCGUAAAAUUUCUCGAGCAUUACGUCAAAUUUCUAUUAGAUAUUACGGAAAGUUAAAAUUUAUUACAAAUUAUAAUCAUUUAAUUGAAUAAAAAUAAUUGGUCAUUAUAAUUAGUAAAUAAACAAAUAAAGAAAGAAACAUUUAUUAAAUAAAAAAAUUAAAAUAUAUUUAGCUUUAAAUAAAUAAAAUUUUUAUCGAAACGAUAUGUUCAACGAUAUUCUAUCAUUUUUAAUUAUACUAUUUAUAUGCAUAAACCACAACUUCCAUUAAUAAUAAAAUUAUACGGAUAGUAUAUAGAGAUGAUACGUUUGAUCAAAUCAAGAUAAAUUUUCAUCACGGUAUUCGAAAGAAACCGUUACAUGAAUGAAUAAAUCGUUGUUUUCGAAACUUGCUGUGAACAAGUCACGCAAUAGUUACAGCACUAUUGUUUUUCUAAGGAGUAGACAAUUAUUUUAAUAUAUGUAAAACUUGGAAACAAAAUUUUAUAAAAUGAUAAGUAUAAAAAUACAUAUUGAGAUUUUUCUGCAGUGCUUGCAUAUUUGGAAGAGUCCAAAUAAGCUUUUUAAUGAUAUACGUUUUUAUGAUACGCGCAUUUUUGAUACGUGAUAUUUUACAUUAUAAUGUUUAAGAAGUAACAUCGUUUAUUCUAUGUAAAAGCGCGGCAAUUUACUUGUCAUUGUUGUCAACGUUCUAUACGUUCUAACGAUAUAAAACAUAUAAAAGUACAACUAUAAAAUAUUUUUAAAAAAUAAUCAAUUAUAUAAACAUGAUAUCAAGGUGCGAUAGAAAAAUGAGUUUGAUACAUACCUGCGUGAAUUUUAUUCAAUUCCUAAUUCCCCACGAGGAGGUAAACGCGAAAACGGCUCUACUUUGUUGCAAACCGUUCUACACUGGUUCGAGGUGCUUCGUAUAGUGUUCUGCGGAGCUGCAUUCGUGUGACAAGAGGCAAAGAUGAAAAGUAAGAAGGAAAGAGAACAAGAGAUAGAGAUAGAGAGACUGUUUUCUUCUCACUCUGUUUCGUGCGAUAGAUGGAGAAGUGGGUACACGUCGACGCGAUCGUUUCGACGAUAAAGAGAAUUGGUGGGGAUAUUCGUCUUCUUGGUUAUGUUCUGCAGCGCCGGCGCUGCAUCGACCCAUCCCACACUACCGACGUACGUUCGUUUCAUCAUACCUUCAAAGUCGAAUAAAUUAUCUGCGGUGAAAACGAAGUAAUUGGUGAAUUUGUAGAACUAGUAUUUACGAUUGAUUCCGAAGAUGAAACCGAAAUAUCACUUUCCAAUGAACACAAUUUAUAACAUUCUUUGCUGGGUGAAGAAUGCCAAGAAUAUCUCAUUUUUUGACACGAAAUAUUGUAAUCAGGACUCGAACUUGCAGAAUUUGAAACACUUUUCGGACUUUUUGGAUUCUUUAAAGUUCCUAAACUAAAUACUCGAAUCAAUUUAAAUCUUAAAGAAUUCUUUUUGUUUUCAAUUACAUGAUUAUUAGUAGUAUUUAAUAUUUUCUCAUCACAAGAAUUGAAAUUAUUUUCCAUUGUAAUUAGAAACUUAACAAAAAUAAAAACAACUUACUUUCACGAAUUAUCGAAACGAAAUGCAAAUAUUCUUAUUUGAAAACUAUAUAAAAUUUUGAAUAUGGUUUUAUUUCCUGGCAUUUUUAACCGCAUCCUUCCUUAUUCUUAUCAAAUACAAAUACUUAUCUAAAUUCAUUUGAAAUGGAUUUUAAUAUUUAUAAUACUACAAUUAAAUGUUUGCAAUUAUUUAUUUUAUUUCCAUUCAUAUUUUUUGAAUAGAAUUUUUCAAAUUUUACUAUUGACACUAUUUUCUCCUUUGUGUAAUUAAUACAAUCUUUUAAUACCAGUAAAAUUUAGAUUCAAAUUAUUGGCAAGGCGUAUCUCUUUAUUGCCUUUUUGUACUUUGACGUAUUUUUGAUGUUAAAAAACUUGUUCUCUGUUAAUACAGAGAAAAUGAAUAUUACAAAUUCAUUGUCGAAUCUGUAUUUUCAUAUUCUUGCAUUACAAUUUAAUACUUCAUUGAACGAUUUUAACAGUUUAUAUUCAUAAAUAAAUAAUAGUGCACAAUCUAUAUAUGGCUCAGCCAUCGCGAGAGAGCACCAAAAUAUCUUCAAUGAUAAAGCAGAGUCGAUUCUAGAUAAUUCCAGUUCAACUCCUGUCAAUGUACAUAAUUACAUGCAUGAUACACCUACUUAUAAUUAACAAGUUGUCACUAUUCAGACUUUGUAACGCUCGAGUACCAGACGGAGAAUCAAUGAAUGAGUCAAAUGAAAUGUAUGCGGGAUAUCCAUGAGGUUUGAAAUGAUAAUUAGUACUAAGUCCUCUUUACCCGCUGUACACGUCUAGCGUGUUUUAUCACUUUUGAAAAAUAUUAAGCUUACUUUGAAGCUUGUUCGAUAUAUGCAAUUAAAUCAGCAC
Apis cerana (Asiatic honeybee) is the source of this 5709-nucleotide long non-coding RNA. RefSeq lists it as uncharacterized. NCBI's taxonomy places the organism in Eukaryota, Metazoa, Arthropoda, Insecta, Hymenoptera, Apidae. The record is from RefSeq and is a predicted model, not a curated record.